Molecule: microRNA precursor, 106 nt
Filed under: Dasypus novemcinctus (nine-banded armadillo)
Lineage: Eukaryota; Metazoa; Chordata; Mammalia; Cingulata; Dasypodidae
Description: miRNA (ENSDNOG00000043207.1)
Rfam family: mir-150 microRNA precursor family (bases 6-85)
Source: RNAcentral
CUCUUCCUCGCGGCCCUGUCUCCCAACCCUUGUACCAGUGCUGGCCUCAGACCCUGGUACAGGCCUGGGGGGCAGGGACCCGGGGACCGGGCACCAGCAGGCCACA